CGAGUUUGAUUCAUGGAUCAGAGAGUGAGCUGGCGGCAUGUUUAUCACAUGCAAGUCGCACGAAGGUUUCGGCGGUAGUGGCGGUCGGGUGAGUAACGCGUAGGAAUCUAUCCAUGGGUGGGGGAUAACUCUGGGAAAAAGGAGCUAAUGGCGCAUGAUUCUUGAGGGUCAAAGGCGCUAGUAGCCUGUGGAGGAGCUUGCGGCUGAUCAUCUCGAUGGUGGGGUAAUGACCUGACAAGGUGAUGAUCCACAGCUGGUCUGAGAGGAUGAUCAACCUCAUUGGGGAGGCAGCAGGCCCAGUCUCCUACGGGAGGCAGCAGUGGGGAAUAUUGGACAAUGGGGGCAACCCUGAUCCAGCAAUGCCGCGUGUGUGAAGAAGGUUUUCGGAUUGUAAAGCACUUUCGCCGGGGACGAUGAUGCCGGUACCCGUAGAAGAAGCACCGGUUAACUUCGUGCCAGCAGCCGCGGUAAUACGAAGGGGCCAAGCGUUGCUCGGAAUGAUUGGGCGUAAAGGGCGUGUAGGCGGUUUGUACAUUCAGAUGUGAAAUCCCCGGGCUUAACCUGGGAGCUGCUCGGGAUACGGGCAGCCUAGAGCAGAGAGAGGGUUGUGGAAUUCCCAGGGUAGAGGUGAAAUUGGUAAAUAUUGGGAAGACCACCGGUGGCGAAGGCGGCAUCUCGUCUCAUAACUGCCGUUGAGGCGCGAAAGCGUGGGGAGCAACCAGGAUUAGAUACCUUGGUAGUCCUCGCGGUAACCGAUGUGUGUUAG
This 766-nucleotide ribosomal RNA is filed under the name Lactiplantibacillus plantarum. RNAcentral describes it as "bacterial SSU rRNA". It matches the Rfam family "Bacterial small subunit ribosomal RNA", at positions 1 to 819 of the family's 1533-position model. Lineage: Bacteria; Bacillati; Bacillota; Bacilli; Lactobacillales; Lactobacillaceae. The record is from RNAcentral.